GGGCUUGCUGGGGCCACUCGCCAGCUUUCAAAGGAUAUGCGAAUACUCUCGGAGAAGAACAGUGUGAUAUCUCGGGAGCUGGAGCAGUGUCGGACGCAGCCGACUGCUGCUACUGCCGAACUGGAGAAGUCCAAGGAGGCACCGACUGGAUCGGUGGCACAACUAGAAGAGAAACUGAAGGCCGUGCAAGCGGACAAGGAACAUGCUGAAAGGCAAGAGGCCGCUGGUCAGCGUGUACUAACACGGACCAGGGACGAGAAGAACGAGAUGCAGGACGCCAACACCCAGCUCGGCAAAGAG
This 300-nucleotide ribosomal RNA is filed under the name Triticum aestivum (bread wheat). RNAcentral describes it as "partial small subunit ribosomal RNA". Lineage: Eukaryota; Viridiplantae; Streptophyta; Magnoliopsida; Poales; Poaceae. The record is from RNAcentral.